UUGUGUGUCCCGUGCACACCGUGUGUGUGCAGCCCAAGAGAGUUUGCCUGAGAACUGCCCCAGUCCUGAACCACUGCUGUGGGCAACCCAGGCAAGGAGAUGGGCACAGCCCCAGACAGAGCAGGGACUGCGGAACCCCUGCCGUGCUGAAUCAGCGCUGUGUGCGAUGGUGACCAGGGUAAAAGGUGUGUCUGGGGGAUUCAAGGGGUGGUCACAGAAGGAAACACUGCAGUGCAGACGUUUCCUGGCCCUGAGGAUCAGUUCCCAAGAUCUGGAGUACAUCUUUGUGUGCUGUAAAAUGUUACUGUAUCUAAAUGCAAUUUGUCAUUCUUGAAUUGUGUGACAUGGUAAUGACUAUGGAAAUGAUGAAAAGUCAGGUUUGGCACCCGUUUGAUAGGUAUAUCCUUAAUGCAUACAUAAGCUGAGAUAAGCUCAAACAACGGCUGUCUUGCUUUAGUCCUUUGCAGGACAUCUUGUUUCUAUUCAGGUGGCUGCAAUGAAACGAGGCUGGCUCCAAUGUGCCAUCAGGGUGCAGAGGCUUCCCUGGGACUCCCUCCUGCCAUGCAUCAUUGAUGUGUGAUGCUAAAGCUGUUUGCAUAGAGCACAUGGGAACCAGACCUGAGCAAGGAAGGUCAAAGUGAAGUGAAAGCAGCAGAGCUCAUCUCAAGCUUUGUUCACAGUUCUGCAACAGGAGCAUAAGUGGAAAUUGGGAUGGUUGUUAGGACCUUGCUCCUUUCCGAUGUGAAAAUUGUGCAAUGAGGAAUAACACUUUAAAGAAUCUGGUGUUCUCUCUUGUAAGAGAAACGAAUCCAGGAAUCCCAUUCAAAGACCGUAUCUCUCAGUGCAUUGUUCUGCUCAGAAACAUUAUUGUCUGCGUUUUUGUUUUUCUUCUUUCCAGAGCUCUGUGGAGAAAGUGGUGGCUGGCUCUGUCUCCGUUCCUCAGGUGGUCCCAUUUGGAAUCCCUCUUCCAGGGAAGGCUAACCAUGAAGGAGAUACAAAUGCUCUUGUAGAAAUGAAAUCAGGUCUGAGUAAGAGCUCUGAAUCCAGGUGGCACCAUGUCUUGAAUGCAGACAUCUGCUGCCAGUGACUACACCCGCUUGCAUUGGAUGGGAGUCACCAAUAGCUCCACAGGUGCAGCCCCAAACCAACAUCUGCAUAAAGACAGUGGACUUGCUGCUUUGUGUGAGUGCAGUGGCUAAGCGAACUGGCACUAGUCUAUAGAAACACCUGGAGGUAUUGAUGCUGGAUCUGCUGAGGGAACUGUACCAUAGCUUAAAAUGAACUGUCACCAAGAUCCAUGGAUUUGUGAUGGGCAGGCACUAUGGCCUAACUAAAACUGAAGCCCACAGCACAGGCUGGAAAGAUCUCUUCUAUCUGCAGGGGUGAAUAAGCACAGCACUUUGUAAGAUCAAGUCCUCUUCUUAUUAGUGUUGUUCACAGUUUGCAGAUACCAUGUGAAAUGCAUUCUUUCUCUACUUAAAAGGGCAAAGUAAUUUGUCAGGCAUGUGGCACAGGAAAUCUUCACCAUAAACACUGUGUGACUUGUGCAAGCAAGCUGCCUGAAAUACAGACGUUGAGGCUUCUUGCAUCAAUCACUGUAGGGUUAAUCAAAUGAAAGCACAACAUUCUUUUUCUCUGGAAAACUGAAGUCAUAGCCCUGUGUCCCUGUUAUAAAAGCAGAGAUGCCCUCCCUCAUGGGCUAUUCAAGGCCCGUACUCCCACAGAUCAUCCAUCACAAAUGUCCAGCUCAACAGAAGCGUACCUUUGAGUUCCUCCUGUGGAAGUCAGGACUGUGUGUGCCACUGUGAAAGCUGAGAAGGCUCUUAGAAAAUGGGUAGUCUUGGCUCCA
This is a long non-coding RNA of Pezoporus flaviventris, 1849 nucleotides long. RefSeq lists it as uncharacterized. The record is from RefSeq and is a predicted model, not a curated record. NCBI's taxonomy places the organism in Eukaryota, Metazoa, Chordata, Aves, Psittaciformes, Psittacidae. The transcript is spliced from 3 exons.